RNAcentral lists this unclassified non-coding RNA (240 nucleotides) under soil metagenome. RNAcentral's name for it is "partial contains 5.8S ribosomal RNA, internal transcribed spacer 2, and large subunit ribosomal RNA". The record is from RNAcentral.
AAGACUAUAGACCUGCGGAGUACCUGCGGAAGGAUCAUUAACGUAUCUAUGAUGGGGUGCGGAGCGCCCUGCUCCGGUCGAACGGCCGUGCAGCGGGUGCGCCGCCCCCGUCCCACCUCACAAACCCACUGUGAACAUUCAUCGGUGGAGGGGGCUCGGUCUGCGCCGUGUCCCCGAUGCCGAAUACCCAAACUCCAGUUGCAAAGAACGUCGUGCGGACUCGGUGCCGCCUAAAACAUG